UUACGGCCAUAUCACAUUGAAACACCGAUUCUCGUUCGAUCACCGAAGUUAAGCAAAUUAAAACCUGGUCAGUACCUAGGUGGGUGACCAUUUGGGAAUACCAGGUGCUGUAA
Acanthosepion pharaonis is the source of this 113-nucleotide non-coding RNA. NCBI's taxonomy places the organism in Eukaryota, Metazoa, Mollusca, Cephalopoda, Sepiida, Sepiidae. The record is from the annotation of a GenBank genome assembly.